GAAUAUCGAUGAGAAAGGAUACAACAACAUUUUGUUUUUCACGAUGUCUUUAUGAUACUGUACGGUGAUGCUAAGGUAGUUUCAACCAUAACAUGGGUCAUGGACAGAGCUGUUUGUGCAGUAAUUACCAAUGUUAUUUUCGAUACGUACAACUGACUGGUAUAUGUAUUCACAUGGAGCAGUUAAAAUCCCCAGUGUUCUGAACAGAUCUUUACAAUGAGCUUGACUAGUAUUUUUGGUUAUAAUUCUUGUGGCUCUUUUGUGGAGUCUGAAAAUUGUGUCAGAACUGUGACUGACUCCCGAACAACAGGGAACUGAUAUGAGUCGAGAUUAGAAAAUAGUACAUUGAUAAUGGCUAGGCACUAGCUAACAUCUGGAUUUGCCAAAUGAAACUUGCAAAAAAAAGAACGACUGAUUGCUGCACUCUAUAAUUUAUAAAUAAUAUCACAGU
Schistocerca cancellata (South American locust) is the source of this 451-nucleotide long non-coding RNA. RefSeq lists it as uncharacterized. Lineage: Eukaryota; Metazoa; Arthropoda; Insecta; Orthoptera; Acrididae. The record is from RefSeq and is a predicted model, not a curated record. The transcript is spliced from 2 exons.